ACUCGUAAUUGAUUUUGAGAGCACAAGAAAGGGGACAAAAAGAAUAUUAAAAUUCAUGUCACGCCUACAAGUCGUCUUGUUUCGUGCUUUCAUCACCUUCUUGACCUCAA
This is a non-coding RNA of Caenorhabditis elegans, 110 nucleotides long. NCBI's taxonomy places the organism in Eukaryota, Metazoa, Nematoda, Chromadorea, Rhabditida, Rhabditidae. The record is from Ensembl.